Long non-coding RNA from Hibiscus syriacus, 152 nucleotides. RefSeq lists it as uncharacterized. NCBI's taxonomy places the organism in Eukaryota, Viridiplantae, Streptophyta, Magnoliopsida, Malvales, Malvaceae. The record is from RefSeq and is a predicted model, not a curated record. The transcript has 3 exons.
CACAUGGGAGUUAGGUGGUGCCAUACAAUCAAAGAAAAUAAGAAAAAACCACCCCCAAGAGUCCACAAGGGUUCAAUAUCCAUGAACCAGCACCAAGGCUAAUAGGUUAGAAGAUGGAAGGUGAGAAUAAGAGAAAAAGAUAUGGAAAAUCU